UCCUACGGGGGGCAGCAGUGGGGAAUAUUGCACAAUGGGGGAAACCCUGAUGCAGCAACGCCGCGUGAGCGAUGAAGGCCUUCGGGUUGUAAAGCUCUGUCUUCGCUGACGAUAAUGACGGUAAGCGAGGAGGAAGCCACGGCUAACUACGUGCCAGCAGCCGCGGUAAUACGUAGGUGGCAAGCGUUGUCCGGAAUUACUGGGCGUAAAGGAUGCGUAGGCGGUGAUUUAAGUGGGAUGUGAAAUACCCGGGCUCAACUCGGGAAUGGCAUUCCAAACUGGAUCGCUAGAGUGCAGGAGAGGAAAGUGGAAUUCCCAGUGUAGCGGUGAAAUGCGUAGAGAUUGGGAGGAACACCAGUGGCGAAGGCGACUUUCUGGACUGUAACUGACGCUGAGGCAUGAAAGUGUGGGGAGCAAACAGGAUUAGAUACCCUGGU
RNAcentral lists this ribosomal RNA (437 nucleotides) under uncultured bacterium. Its description in RNAcentral is "bacterial SSU rRNA". It matches the Rfam family "Bacterial small subunit ribosomal RNA", at positions 337 to 791 of the family's 1533-position model. The record is from RNAcentral.